GUGUCAGCAGCCGCGGUAAGACGAACCGUGCAAACGUUGUUCGGAAUCACUGGGCUUAAAGGGCGCGUAGGCGGGCGGUCAAGUCCGGGGUGAAAUCUUUCGGCUCAACCGGAAAAGUGCCUUGGAUACUGGCCGUCUCGAGGGAGGUAGGGGCCGGCGGAACUUCUGGUGGAGCGGUGAAAUGUGUUGAUAUCAGAAGGAACUCCGGUGGCGAAAGCGGUCGGCUGGACCUCUUCUGACGCUGAGGCGCGAAAGCUAGGGGAGCAAACGGGAUUAGAUACCCCGGUAGUCCUAGCCCUAAACGAUGGGUACUAGGUAGUAGACUUGACAUGGGUUUACUGCCGAAGCAAAAGUGUUAAGUACCCCGCCUGGGGAGUAUGGUCGCAAGGCUGAA
Molecule: ribosomal RNA, 394 nt
Filed under: uncultured bacterium
Lineage: Bacteria
Description: bacterial SSU rRNA
Rfam family: Bacterial small subunit ribosomal RNA
Source: RNAcentral